AGAAUAUACGUCGUGUACCUGAAGAACAGCCAUCGGGGUAAUACGGAGCAGCCAACUGGUAUCCGCGGACACUGCAAGUAUUAUCUCUAAUCACGGGUAAUCAAGUCUCUUUAUGAGUUUAGAAACUUCAACUCAAAAUUCCAGUAGAAUAACUUUAAAAAGACAGUAGAAGGGGUUAAGGGAAAGUAUAGUGGAGGUAAAAGGAAUUUACAGAGGAGCGGUGACACGGGUAGAUAAGGCACUUUACUGGGAUAUUGAAGGCACUUAGAUGGGAUAUUUAGGACACUCAGAGGGGUUAGAUAGGGCAGCAAAUCGGACUAGAAACAACAGUAGUCCGAGCCGUAACCAAUGGACGUUUGCAGUUUCACAGAUCGCCCUUUACAGAUCAAACCUAACGCU
Molecule: ribosomal RNA, 399 nt
Filed under: uncultured phototrophic eukaryote
Lineage: Eukaryota
Description: bacterial SSU rRNA
Source: RNAcentral